GAUCCGGUGCACUAGUGGUUUUAGCGUUCGCCUCGAAUGCGGGAGGUCACAGGUUCGAACCCCGGCCGAGUCA
Molecule: non-coding RNA, 73 nt
Organism: Potamilus streckersoni
Lineage: Eukaryota; Metazoa; Mollusca; Bivalvia; Unionida; Unionidae
Source: the annotation of a GenBank genome assembly